RNAcentral lists this unclassified non-coding RNA (435 nucleotides) under fungal sp. RNAcentral describes it as "partial internal transcribed spacer region". The stretch from base 1 to 46 matches the Rfam family "Eukaryotic small subunit ribosomal RNA", at positions 1786 to 1831 of the family's 1831-position model. The record is from RNAcentral. Lineage: Eukaryota; Fungi.
AAGUCGUAACAAGGUUUCCGUAGGUGAACCUGCGGAAGGAUCAUUACCAUAUCCAAAUUUACCAACCCACCGUGUGAACCGUUUUUUAAGGAAAAAGCUUUCAACAGUUUUUUUGGCCUUGAGAACACUAUGAACUUUGGGGGAACACUACGCACUAAACUAAGGGAAAAGUGCAAGGAAAGGUGCAGCAAUGCUAUCGAUCCUUGUGUUAUUACCAAUUAGUUUUUGUUUGGUUUCCCCAUUUGCAUUUUCACAAAUGCAGAGUUGUUUGUAUGUUUUUAAACCGUCAAAACCUCUGAAGAAGCUGUUUCCAAAACCUUUAAACACCUUGUCAAACCAAACCUUUAACCUUAAAAACAUUUUUUUGCCUAAAAAACAAAAAGAUAAAAACGAAAAACCAAUAGACAACUUACAACGGUGGAUCUCUUGGCUCGU